This 795-nucleotide non-coding RNA is filed under the name Baetis sp. PC-2010. Lineage: Eukaryota; Metazoa; Arthropoda; Insecta; Ephemeroptera; Baetidae. The record is from RNAcentral.
GCACCCAUAGUAAUUGCGUGAUUUUAUUUACUAACUUUAAAGAGCGUAAUCAGGGCAUGGCUGGGUUUGAGCUAAAUCAAACACAAGAGGGCACCCACCGCCCCUAUGUUAGAAAUUACAUGGAUAUUUUUGGCUUAAUGCCCUACCUCCCAGUGAUUAAAAUUAGUGGUUAGCAGGGGCUAGAACUAGUUACUAAUUAAGUCCUGGCUAAACCCGUGCCAGCUGCCGCGGUUAGACGAUGAGGGCAAGGGGAUGGUAUUUGGGGUACAGCUCACUUAAGUCAAUUUCAAUAUGCGAUUUCGAGGGUGGAAUCUAAAAUCGCACCUCAAUUGGUGGGACCCUGUGAAAACCUAAUAGCGACUAGGAUUAGAUACCCUAUUAGUAUGUCGUUAAACCCCACCCCGAGUAGUACAAGUUUAUACUCUAAACUCAAAGAAUUUGGCGGCGUCCUAUCUUUUUAGAGGAACCUGCCCCGUAAUCGAUGGUCCACGUUGUUUUAUACCUCCUUUAAAAGCUUGUAUACCGCCGUUUAGGGUAUGCCAUGAGGCUUGCCCAGAAUUAAGUUAUUCAAUAAUUCAGGUCAAGGUGCAGCCUAUAAGGAGGGGGGUGGUGGGUUACAGUUUUUCAAUAAUUGGACUCUCGCGUUAAAACCGAGACGAAAUUGGAUUUAAAAGUAAUUUUACUCAAUAAGGUUAAAUGGCCUAGCACUAGGGCGUGCACACAUCGCCCGUCACUCUCUUCCUAACAAGAGAUAAGUCGUAACAAAGUAGGCGUACUGGAAAGUGUGCCUAGCAU